RNAcentral lists this ribosomal RNA (2044 nucleotides) under human gut metagenome. Its description in RNAcentral is "bacterial LSU rRNA". It matches the Rfam family "Bacterial large subunit ribosomal RNA", at positions 508 to 2573 of the family's 2925-position model. The record is from RNAcentral.
GGAAAGGUGAAAAGAACCCCGAACAGGGGAGUGAAAUAGAACCUGAAACCAUACGCUUACAACCGGUCGGAGCAGCUUCGUGCUGUGACGGCGUGCCUAUUGAAUAAUGAGCCUACGAGUUACUAAUCACUGGCGAGGUUAAGUGCACGGAUGCACGGAGCCGAAGCGAAAGCGAGUCUUAAUAGGGCGUUUAGUCAGUGGUUGUAGACGCGAAACCUUGCGAUCUACCCUUGAGCAGGUUGAAGGUUGGGUAAAACCAACUGGAGGACCGAACGAAUAAGCGUUGAAAAGCUUCUCGAUGACUUGAGGGUAGGGGUGAAAGGCUAAUCAAGCUGGGAAAUAGCUCGUACUCCCCGAAAUGCCUUUAGGGGCAGCGUUGUAAUUGAGAGUCUACUGGAGGUAGAGCUACUGAUUGGAUGCGGGGGCUUCACCGCCUACCAAAUCCUGACAAACUCCGAAUGCCAGUAGUAUGAUUUACAGCAGUGAGCGACCGGGUGCUAAUGUCCGGUCACAAAAGAGGAACAACUCAGACCAGCAACUAAGGUCCCCAAGAGUAUGCUAAGUUGAUCUAACGAUGUUUUGUUGCAGAGACAGCUAGGAUGUUAGCUUGGAAGCAGCUAUUCAUUCAAAGAGUGCGUAACAGCUCACUAGUCGAGCGACAGAGCGUGGAUAAUAAACGGGCAUCAAGCAUAUCACCGAAGUUCUGGGCGCGAGAGCGCGGUAGGGGAGCAUUCCAUUCAGCGUCGAAGCAGUUUCGUGAGGAAUUGUGGAGCGUAUGGAAAAGCAAAUGUAGGCAUGAGUAACGAUAAUGCGGGAGAGUAACCCGCACACCGCAAGACCAAGGUUUCCUGAUCAACGCUAAUCGGAUCAGGGUUAGUCGGGUCCUAAGGGUAAGCCGAACGGCGAUCUCGAUGGAUAAUCGGUUAAUAUUCCGAUACUAACAUAUACCUCGAUGGAGAGACGAAGGAACGUAAGUGCCGCCACCUGACGGAAUAGGUGGUUAAAGGGCGUAGGUAUAGGGGCAGAUUAAGAGUUAGUCCUUGCUGAAACCUGACAGUACAGAGAGCCUACGGGCAAUUUGAUAGAGCACCCAAGUCGACUUCCGAGAAAAUCUUCUAAGUUAUAGUAUAUGUUACCCGUACCGUAAACCGACACAGGUGGUCGAGGAGAGUAUCCUAAGGUGCUCGAGUGAAUCACGGUUAAGGAACUAGGCAAAUUAACCCCGUAACUUCGGGAAAAGGGGUCCCUAUGAAAGUAGGGCGCAGCGAAGAGGUCCAGGCGACUGUUUAUCAAAAACACAGGGCUCUGCAAAUUCGAAAGAAGACGUAUAGGGCCUGACACCUGCCCGGUGCUGGAAGGUUAAGAGGGGAUGUCAUCGCAAGAGAAGCAUUGAAUCGAAGCCCCAGUAAACGGCGGCCGUAACUAUAACGGUCCUAAGGUAGCGAAAUUCCUUGUCGGGUAAGUUCCGACCUGCACGAAUGGUGUAACGAUCUGGACACUGUCUCAACCGUGAGCUCGGUGAAAUUGUAGUCCCGGUGAUGAUGCCGGGUACCCGCAACGGGACGAAAAGACCCCGUGAACCUUUACUAUAGCUUAACGCUGAAUUUGGGUACACAAUGUGUAGGAUAGGCCGGAGGCUUUGAAGCGGGCACGCCAGUGUUCGUGGAGCCGACGUUGAAAUACGGCCCUUUGUGUAUUUGAGUUCUAACCCUGCGAAGGGGACACCGUUUGGUGGGUAGUUUGACUGGGGUGGUCGCCUCCAAAAGCGUAACGGAGGCUUCCCAAGGUACCCUCAGCACGAAUGGUAACCGUGCGCAGAGUGCAAUAGCAUAAGGGUGCUUGACUGUGAGACAUACAAGUCGACCAGGUACGAAAGUAGGGUAUAGUGAUCCGGUGGUUCUGCGUGGACUGGCCAUCGCUCAAAGGAUAAAAGGUACUCCGGGGAUAACAGGCUGAUCGCCGCCAAGAGCUCAUAUCGACGCGGCGGUUUGGCACCUCGAUGUCGGCUCGUCACAUCCUGGGGCUGGAGAAGGUCCCAAGGGUU